RNAcentral lists this transfer RNA (71 nucleotides) under Patescibacteria group bacterium. RNAcentral's name for it is "tRNA-Gln". It matches the Rfam family "tRNA". Rfam says of the family: Transfer RNA (tRNA) molecules are approximately 80 nucleotides in length. Their secondary structure includes four short double-helical elements and three loops (D, anti-codon, and T loops). The record is from RNAcentral.
UGCGGGAUGGUGUAAUGGUAGCACGCUGCUCUCUGGAAGCAGAGAUUGGGGUUCGAGUCCCUGUCCCGCAG